GAAGACUUGAAGGUAUGCUGAAUCUCCUGAGGAUCACACCCAAAGAUUUAGGAGGUUUCCUUCCAACUUGGUAAUAUUACGAUUCUACAAGCAGGUUACUCACUGGUGAAUUUCAACAUGUUCAUAUGCCCUAUACAACUCCAGAUUGUCCAAGACUGAGGCCUGGGCUUUCUUCACGUCAUGCAUCAUGGGAAUUGCAGU
Molecule: non-coding RNA, 201 nt
Organism: Zootoca vivipara (common lizard)
Lineage: Eukaryota; Metazoa; Chordata; Lepidosauria; Squamata; Lacertidae
Source: RefSeq, a predicted model, not a curated record